GCCCUCGUAUUCCAACCGGCAGAGAAAGGCGACUCAAAAUCGUCACAGUGUGGGUUCGACUCCCACCGAGGGCACCA
Molecule: transfer RNA, 77 nt
Filed under: Candidatus Nanopelagicales bacterium
Lineage: Bacteria; Bacillati; Actinomycetota; Actinomycetes; Candidatus Nanopelagicales
Description: tRNA-Leu
Rfam family: tRNA
About the family: Transfer RNA (tRNA) molecules are approximately 80 nucleotides in length.
Source: RNAcentral